RNAcentral lists this ribosomal RNA (466 nucleotides) under uncultured bacterium. RNAcentral describes it as "partial 16S ribosomal RNA". It matches the Rfam family "Bacterial small subunit ribosomal RNA", at positions 28 to 507 of the family's 1533-position model. The record is from RNAcentral.
GAUGAACGCUGGCGGCGUGCUUAACACAUGCGAGUCGAACGGAAAGGCUCCUGCUUGCAGGGGUACUCGAGUGGCGAACGGGUGAGUAACACGUGGGUGAUCUGCCCUGCACUUCGGGAUAAGCCUGGGAAACUGGGUCUAAUACCGGAUAGGACGAUGGUUUGGAUGCCAUUGUGGAAAGUUUUUUCGGUGUGGGAUGAGCUCGCGGCCUAUCAGCUUGUUGGUGGGGUAAUGGCCUGCCAAGGCGUCGACGGGUAGCCGGCCUGAGAGGGUGUACGGCCACAUUGGGACUGAGAUACGGCCCAGACUCCUACGGGAGGCAGCAGUGGGGAAUAUUGCACAAUGGGCGCAAGCCUGAUGCAGCGACGCCGCGUGGGGGAUGACGGCCUUCGGGUUGUAAACUCCUUUCGCUAGGGACGAAGCGCAAGUGACGGUACCUGGAGAAGAAGCACCGGCUAACUACGUG